ACUCCCAGCAUUCCACCCAGUGUCAGAGUAGACACAGGCAAACAACCCUACAAGACAUCUCAGAAGUUCUGCUCUCAGACAUGGUGUCUGGGGAUGCUUGCCAUAGAAUACAAGCUAAGGACUUUCCCAAGGAGGACCUUCCCAAGUCUGCCCACCUCAUAGUCUUUUUGGUCUCACGAGCUGUGAUGACCUACUUUGUCUGGGAAAUUAACAGAUCAGGACCCAAGUGGACAAGAAAGUUGUGGAGGCUGAGGGCACCAUGGAAGCACCUCUGUGGUAGUUGCAGGCAUGUGUGCUGUGCAGCACUCUUCAACCUAAGAGCACCAAAACUUUCUCUGCCGAGUGUAUCAGCAACAAAUGCAAAGGCCACUUCCAUAAGAUCUGGUCACCCACAGUAUCACUCAUACUAAGGUAUGCCUGCUUCUUUUCUUUUUUUUUCCUCUCAUUAUGGAUGGUUGUGAGUCACCAUGUGGUUGCUGGGAUUUGAACUCAUGACCUCUGGAUGAGCCAUCUCACCAGCCAGUAUGCCUGCUUCUUGUCCACCAGAAGACCUGCCUUGGGGGGAGUAAGGUAAAGAGGGCACUCUAGCUGAAAAAACCUGGACCUGACCUGGAGAGGCGGCAGCCACAGAAUCUCCAGGAACAAGGUGUUCCCUAAGGAUGCGAUGGUUGACGGCAUCAGGCUGACCAGGAGCAAAGAGGUCACCAGCUACUGACACACCAAAGGUCAUGCAAAGUUACCUGUGUUGAAGGCUGACACACAGCCCUGGUAGCCUUCUCUAGCAUGAACUGAACAGAUAGGCUACCAUCACUGAGCUGCAAUCAGCAGCAAGGCCGACAAUAGAUUGGUCAGGGCUUCAAUUUCCAGCUCAGCGAGCUAGUCAAGAACAGUGCCCCCACCAACUAUGACCUAUCUGAUAGGAGCAUCAACCCUAUUAUGGCAAAGUGACAGAUGUCUCUGUCAUGCUGAAAGCUGUAUGGUGGGGACCAGGAAGUACUUGUGUACCCUACGUAAGUCCUUAAUGGUGCAGACCCAAUAAAUAGCAGGCUCUGUAGAAGAUCCAUCCCAAGUUCAUCAACACUAAGUUGGGCUGUGGCCACUUCUAACAUAUAGAGAAGAUAUCAGUCAUGGAAUAUGUACAAGAGACAGGACUGAAUGGGCUGAAGAUAUGGCUUGGUGGGUAAGCAUUUGCCAUAUAAGUGUGAAGACUGGGCUUGAACCCCUCCAGCCCAUACUAAGCUGGGUGAACUCAGUAGCAAGUGUCUGUAACACUAGUGUUUCUACAGAGAGAUGGACACAGGAGACUCUCUGGAGGCUCACGGCCAGCUAGCCUGUCAUGCCCAGUGGCGAACAGCAGAGGCCCUGUGUCAAGCAGGUGGAAGGUUAAAAUCAAUGCCUGAGGUUGUUCCCUACCUCCAUACACACCGUGAAAAAUGCAUGCACACAUUCACAUACACAAAUGUUCAGGCACACACAUACAAGAUGAUUUUCAAAGAGGGAGGGAGAGCGCAGGGAAGCAAAUACUUAAUGUCAGCAUGUUACAUGGGUGGUAGAAACUCCGUUUUCAUUCCUCCCAUCAAGGGACAUAAAAGAACACCCAACUUUAUUCAGACAUAAUUAAACAUGUCAUAUGACUCACCUUAGAAAAUAUGCAACAGUGGUUCUAAACGAUUUCCUCCUAACCUGACAAGAUUCUAAAAAUGUCUGUACAGUGUAGACAGUUUAAAAUAGGUUGGUUCCCACUGAGGCUAAAACCAUGUGUGGCAAAGUGUUCCCAGGGCAGGGAGAAUGGGAAGCCAUCUAAGGGGGCACGGGCAGGAGUCACUAAAUAAAGUCCACAGGGAGCGGGGAAAUCCCUGAAAGUGGAGCUUGCAUACAGCUGCAGCAGUCACAGUAGACACAUUUCAAACACUGAUCAGUGGUCGGGCUGGAGAGACGAUUCAGAACUUGACACUAUUGCAGAGAACUCAGGUUCAAAUCCUAGCAUCCACACGGAGACUCCCACUGGUGCUUUGGUUCCAGGAGAUCUAAUGCCUUCUUUUUCUACUGGUACUGCACACAUGUGGUCCACAUAAAUGCAUGCGGGCAAACCACUCAUACAAAUAACACAUAUAGUUUUAAAGAAUGAUUUUUUUUUAAAGUUGACCAGUUGGGGGAAGC
This 2160-nucleotide long non-coding RNA is filed under the name Mus musculus (house mouse). RNAcentral's name for it is "long non-coding RNA chr17:12816383-12818543". The record is from RNAcentral. Lineage: Eukaryota; Metazoa; Chordata; Mammalia; Rodentia; Muridae.